RNAcentral lists this ribosomal RNA (388 nucleotides) under uncultured bacterium. RNAcentral describes it as "bacterial SSU rRNA". It matches the Rfam family "Bacterial small subunit ribosomal RNA", at positions 28 to 416 of the family's 1533-position model. The record is from RNAcentral.
GACGAACGCUGGCGGCGUGCUUAACACAUGCAAGUCGAGCGGUAAGGCCCUUUCGGGGGUACACGAGCGGCGAACGGGUGAGUAACACGUGGGUGACCUGCCCUUAGCUCUGGGAUAAGCCUGGGAAACUGGGUCUAAUACCGGAUAUGACUCCAUGACGCAUGUUGUGGGGUGGAAAGCCUUGUGCGGCUAGGGAUGGGCCUGCGGCCUAUCAGCUUGUUGGUGGGGUGAUGGGCCUACCAAGGCGACGACGGGUAGCCGGCCUGAGAGGGCGACCGGCCACACUGGGGACUGAGACACGGCCCAGACUCCUACGGGAGGCAGCAGUGGGGAAUAUUGCGCAAUGGGCGGAAGCCUGACGCAGCGACGCCGCGUGGGGAUGACGGCC